Molecule: ribosomal RNA, 465 nt
Filed under: uncultured bacterium
Lineage: Bacteria
Description: partial 16S ribosomal RNA
Rfam family: Bacterial small subunit ribosomal RNA
Source: RNAcentral
GAUGAACGCUGGCGGCGUGCUUAACACAUGCAAGUCGAACGGAAAGGCUCCUGCUUGCAGGGGUACUCGAGUGGCGAACGGGUGAGUAACACGUGGGUGAUCUGCCCUGCACUUCGGGAUAAGCCGGGGAAACUGGGUCUAAUACCGGAUAGGACCACAGUUUGGAUGGUGUGGUGGAAAGUUUUUCGGUGUGGGAUGAGCUCGCGGCCUAUCAGCUUGUUGGUGGGGUAAUGGCCUACCAAGGCGUCGACGGGUAGCCGGCCUGAGAGGGUGUACGGCCACAUUGGGACUGAGAUACGGCCCAGACUCCUACGGGAGGCAGCAGUGGGGAAUAUUGCACAAUGGGCGCAAGCCUGAUGCAGCGACGCCGCGUGGGGGAUGACGGCCUUCGGGUUGUAAACUCCUUUCGCUAGGGACGAAGCGCAAGUGACGGUACCUGGAGAAGAAGCACCGGCUAACUACGUG